Molecule: long non-coding RNA, 1426 nt
Filed under: Taeniopygia guttata (zebra finch)
Lineage: Eukaryota; Metazoa; Chordata; Aves; Passeriformes; Estrildidae
Description: lncRNA (ENSTGUG00000028186.1)
Source: RNAcentral
AAUAAUUUUAAAUAAUUAAUAUUAUGUUUUAAACAUCAAAUUUUUUAAAUUAGGCACUAUUUGCUUAGUUAUUAGGAACUAAAUUAAUUAAAUUAUUGAAUUAGUUAUUAAUUACUCAAUUAUUAAGUAUUUUAAUGUUAUUAACUUGCUUUAAUUAAUGAGUGAAUUUUGGAUGGUAAUGAUCGGAUUACCAAUGCAAAUUAGCUAAUUAGAAUAAUCAAUCAGCAGCCAGGAGCGGGACCGGGUUUAGAGCUAUGCAAAUGAGCUAAUUAGCAUACCCAAUCAGUCAGGGGCAGGCUGUAGGUGGGUUAAGAUGAGUUCAGGGCUAUGCAAAUGAGCUAAUUAGCAUACCCAAUCAGCAGCCAGGGCCGGUGCGGAGGCGGACGGGGGCGGGAUGAGUUCCUGUCUAUGCAAAUGAGCUAAUUAGCAUACCCAAUCAAGCAGGGGCGGGCUGCAGGUGGGUGGGGAUGAGUUCCUGUCUAUGCAAAUGAGCUAAUUAUCAUGCCCAAUCAGCAGCCAGGGCCAUUGCUGAAGCGGAUGGGGGCAGGAUGAGUUAACGGCUAUGCAAAUGAGCUAAUUAGCAUACCCAAUCAGCAGCCAGGGCCGGUGCGGAGGCGGACGGGGGCGGGGCCGGCGCGGGGGGGCCCCGGAGGCGCCGCUGGGGGGCGACGGCGCCCAAGAGACCCUCCAUCAGCAUCAGCACCGACAGCCUCAAGAGCCUGAUCCCCGAAAUCCGCGCGGGGGGCGGGGCCGAGCCCCCGGAGGGGGGCGGGGACAGCGCCGGGGGGGAGGGGCCGGAAGCGGAGGGGGAUGGGCCGGACAAAGGGGGCGUGGCCUGUUCUGGCCCCGCCCCCGGCGCGGACCCGCCCCCGCUGCUGCUCCCCUCCCCCCACCUGAAGAUCUGCCGCACCGUCACCCAGGUGGUUCCGGCGCCGGGGGAGAACGGGCGGGGGGAGGGGCAGGAGGAGGAGGAGGAGGGGGCGGAGUCGGACGAAGGGGGCGGGGCCUGCAAGCCCAAGCCCCUCCCCCACCCCUCCACAAGCCCCGCCCCUUCCGGAGGGGGAGGGGCCACGCCGGGCCCCGCCCCUCCCCCCGCCGCGGCCACGCCCACAUCCGGAGAGGGGGAGGGGAAAGGAGGUAAAAGGGGGCGGGGCUUGAGGGGGAGGGGCCUGAAAUGCAAAUGAGGUGCUUAAAAAUGUCAGGGAGGGGCUUAAAAGGGUGGUGGGAGGGGUCUAAAAUGCAAAUGAGCUGUUUGAAAAUGUGGGGGAGGGGCCAAAAUGGUGGGGGAGGAACCUUAAAUUGGGGGAGGGGUCAAAAAUGCAAAUGAGCUGCUUUAAAAUGUGGUGGGAGGGGCUUAAAAGGGUGGUGGGAGUGGUCUAAAAUGCAAAUGAGGUGCUUGAAAAUGUGGGGGAGGGACUUGAGAGUG